Molecule: ribosomal RNA, 40 nt
Filed under: Diaporthe eres
Lineage: Eukaryota; Fungi; Ascomycota; Sordariomycetes; Diaporthales; Diaporthaceae
Also listed under: 15 other names
Description: partial 18S ribosomal RNA
Source: RNAcentral
UAACAAGGUCUCCGUUGGUGAACCAGCGGAGGGAUCAUUG